RNAcentral lists this ribosomal RNA (453 nucleotides) under uncultured Porphyromonadaceae bacterium. RNAcentral's name for it is "partial 16S ribosomal RNA". It matches the Rfam family "Bacterial small subunit ribosomal RNA", at positions 341 to 792 of the family's 1533-position model. Lineage: Bacteria; Pseudomonadati; Bacteroidota; Bacteroidia; Bacteroidales; Porphyromonadaceae. The record is from RNAcentral.
ACGGAAGGCAGCAGUGGGGAAUAUUGGUCAAUGGGCGGGAGCCUGAACCAGCCAAGUCGCGUGAGGGAGGACGGUCCUACGGAUUGUAAACCUCUUUUGUCGGGGAGUAACGUGCGGUACGUGUACCGUAUUGAGAGUACCCGAAGAAAAAGCAUCGGCUAACUCCGUGCCAGCAGCCGCGGUAAUACGGAGGAUGCGAGCGUUAUCCGGAUUUAUUGGGUUUAAAGGGUGCGCAGGCGGCGCGUCAAGUCAGCGGUAAAAUGUCGGUGCUCAACGCCGGCCGGCCGUUGAAACUGUCGUGCUCGAGUUCGUGCGAGGAGAGCGGAAUGCGUGGUGUAGCGGUGAAAUGCAUAGAUAUCACGCAGAACGCCGAUUGCGAAGGCAGCCCUCCAGCACUGGACUGACGCUGAGGCACGAAAGCGUGGGUAUCGAACAGGAUUAGAUACCCUGGUA